Molecule: ribosomal RNA, 2893 nt
Filed under: Clostridioides difficile
Lineage: Bacteria; Bacillati; Bacillota; Clostridia; Peptostreptococcales; Peptostreptococcaceae
Description: bacterial LSU rRNA
Rfam family: Bacterial large subunit ribosomal RNA
Source: RNAcentral
UCAAGUUAUUAAGGGUGCAGGGCGGAUGCUUGGCACUAGGAGCCGAUGAAGGACGUGAUAAGCUGCGAUAAGCUUCGGGGAGUUGCACGUAAACUUUGAUCCGAAGAUUUCCGAAUGAGGAAACUCACUUAGAGUAAUGUCUAAGUAUCAUUAAGUGAAUACAUAGCUUAAUGAGGGGAACUCAGGGAACUGAAACAUCUAAGUACCUGAAGGAAGAGAAAGAAAUUCGAUUCCGUAAGUAGCGGCGAGCGAACGCGGAUUAGCCCAAACCAAUAAAGUUUUCUUUAUUGGGGUUGCGGACAUAUCAUAACGAAGAGGUAUCGUAAUUGAAGAGGUUUGGAAAGACCCACCACAGAAGGUAAUAGUCCUGUAUGUUAAACGAGAAGACUUUAGAUAUGAUCCAGAGUACCACGGGACACGUGAAACCCUGUGGGAAGCAGGAGGGACCACCCUCCAAGGCUAAAUACUACCUAGUGACCGAUAGCGUAUAGUACCGUGAGGGAAAGGUGAAAAGAACCCCGGGAGGGGAGUGAAAUAGAACCUGAAACCCUGCACUUACAAGCUGUGGAAGCACAUUUCUUGUGUGACCGCGUACUUUUUGUAGAACGGGCCAACGAGUUACGUUAAGUAGCAAGGUUAAGCACUUAAGGUGCGGAGCCGUAGCGAAAGCGAGUUUUAACUGAGCGUUCAGUUACUUGACGUAGACCCGAAACCGGGCGACCUACCCAUGAGCAGGAUGAAGCGAAAGUAAAAUUUCGUGGAGGUCCGAACCCACGAGCGUUGAAAAGCUCGGGGAUGACUUGUGGGUAGCGGUGAAAUUCCAAUCGAGCCCGGAGAUAGCUGGUUCUCCCCGAAAUAGCUUUAGGGCUAGCCUCAAGGUGAGAGAUACGGAGGUAGAGCACUGAAUGUCCUAGGGGGUAUUGCACCUACCGAAGACUAUCAAACUCCGAAUGCCGUCAUCUUAUACUUGGGAGUCAGACUGUGGGUGAUAAGAUUCAUAGUCGAAAGGGCAACAGCCCAGAUCGUCAGCUAAGGUCCCUAAAUGUAAGUUAAGUGGUAAAGGAUGUGGGAUUGCACAGACAACCAGGAUGUUGGCUUAGAAGCAGCCACUCAUUCAAAGAGUGCGUAAUAGCUCACUGGUCGAGUGAUCCUGCGCCGAAGAUUUCCGGGGCUAAAACUUACUACCGAAGCUACGGCAUCAGUAAUGAUGGGUAGGGGAGCUUCCCAUACGGGUUGAAGCAUGACCGUAAGGACAUGUGGACAGUAUGGGAGUGAGAAUGUUGGCAUGAGUAGCGAGAUGUGGGUGAGAAUCCCACAGGCCGUAAACCCAAGGUUUCCAGGGGAAGGUUCGUCCGCCCUGGGUUAGUCGGGACCUAAGCUGAGGCCGAAAGGCGUAGGUGAUGGACAACAGGUUGAUAUUCCUGUACUACCGAUAACCGUUUGAGAGAAGGGAUGACACAGUAGGAUAAGCUAAGCACACUGUUGGUUAUGUGUGCCCAAGCAUUGAGGCAGUCAAAGUAGGCAAAUCCGCUUUGAUAAUGCUGGGAUGUGAUGGGGAGCGAAAUUUAGUAGCGAAGUAGCUGAUUUCACACUGUCAAGAAAAGUCUCUAUCGAGGUUAAAGGUACCCGUACCGCAAACCGACACAGGUGGGUGAGGAGAGUAUCCUAAGGCCAGCGAGAGAACUGUUGUUAAGGAACUCGGCAAAAUGACCCCGUAACUUAGGGAUAAGGGGUGCCACCAUCAGGUGGCCGCAGAGAAUAGGCCCAAGCGACUGUUUACCAAAAACAUAGGUUUCUGCUAAGUCGCAAGACGAUGUAUAGGAGCUGACGCCUGCCCGGUGCUGGAAGGUUAAGGGGAUCUGUUAGAGCAAUCGAAGCAGUGAACUUAAGCCCCAGUAAACGGCGGCCGUAACUAUAACGGUCCUAAGGUAGCGAAAUUCCUUGUCGGGUAAGUUCCGACCCGCACGAAAGGCGUAACGAUUUGGGCACUGUCUCAACAACAGACUCGGUGAAAUUGUAAUUCCGGUGAAGAUGCCGGAUACCUGCGACAGGACGGAAAGACCCCAUGGAGCUUUACUGUAGCUUGACAUUGGGUCUUGGUACUACAUGUACAGGAUAGGUGGGAGGCUUUGAAACCAGGACGCCAGUUUUGGCGGAGCCAUCCUUGGGAUACCACCCUUGUAGUACUGGGACUCUAACCAUAGGCCAUGAAUCUGGUCUUGGGACACUGUCAGGUGGGCAGUUUGACUGGGGCGGUCGCCUCCCAAAAGGUAACGGAGGCGCUCAAAGGUUCUCUCAGUACGGUCGGAAAUCGUACGUAGAGUGUAAAGGCAAAAGAGAGCUUGAUUGCAAGACAUACAGGUCGAGCAAGGAUGAAAAUCGGACUUAGUGAUCCGGUGGUUCUGCGUGGAAGGGCCAUCGCUCAACGGAUAAAAGCUACCCUGGGGAUAACAGGCUUAUCUCCCCCAAGAGUCCACAUCGACGGGGAGGUUUGGCACCUCGAUGUCGGCUCAUCACAUCCUGGGGCUGUAGUAGGUCCCAAGGGUUGGGCUGUUCGCCCAUUAAAGUGGUACGCGAGCUGGGUUCAGAACGUCGUGAGACAGUUCGGUCCCUAUCCGUCGCAGGCGUAGGAAAUUUGAGAAGACCUGUCCUUAGUACGAGAGGACCGGGAUGGACGUACCUCUGGUGUACCAGUUGUUCUGCCAAGGGCAUGGCUGGGUAGCUAUGUACGGAAUGGAUAAGCGCUGAAAGCAUCUAAGCGCGAAGCCAACUUCAAGAUAAGAUUUCCCACCGCAAGGGUAAGACCCCAGAAAGACUAUCUGGUUGAUAGGUCGAAGGUGUAAGUGCAGCAAUGUAUUUAGCUUAUCGAUACUAAUAGGUCGAGGACUUGACC